GACGAACGCUGGCGGCGUGCUUAACACAUGCAAGUCGAACGGAAAGGCCCUGCUUUUGUGGGGUGCUCGAGUGGCGAACGGGUGAGUAACACGUGAGUAACCUGCCCUUGACUUUGGGAUAACUUCAGGAAGCUGGGGCUAAUACCGGAUAGGAGCUCCUGCUGCAUGGUGGGGGUUGGAAAGUUUCGGCGGUUGGGGGUGGACUCGCGGCUUAUCAGCUUGUUGGUGAGGUAGUGGCUUACCAAGGCUUUGACGGGUAGCCGGCCUGAGAGGGGGGACGGCCACCUUGGUACUGAGAUACGGCCCAGACUCCUACGGGAGGCAGCAGUGGGGAGUAUUGCACAAUGGGCGGAAGCCUGUUGCAGAAGCGCCGCGUGCGGGAUGACGUCCUUCGGGUUGUAAACCGCUUUCGCCUGUGACGAAGCGUUAGUGACGGUAAUGGGUAAAGAAGCACCGGCUAACUACGUG
Molecule: ribosomal RNA, 468 nt
Filed under: uncultured bacterium
Lineage: Bacteria
Description: partial 16S ribosomal RNA
Rfam family: Bacterial small subunit ribosomal RNA
Source: RNAcentral